Molecule: ribosomal RNA, 497 nt
Filed under: uncultured bacterium
Lineage: Bacteria
Description: partial 16S ribosomal RNA
Rfam family: Bacterial small subunit ribosomal RNA
Source: RNAcentral
GAUGAACGCUGGCGGCGUGCCUAAUACAUGCCAGUCGAGCGAACGGACGAGAAGCUUGCUUCUCUGAUGUUAGCGGCGGACGGGUGAGUAACACGUGGAUAACCUACCUAUAAGACUGGGAUAACUUCGGGAAACCGGAGCUAAUACCGGAUAAUAUUUUGAACCGCAUGGUUCAAAAGUGAAAGACGGUCUUUCUGUCACUUAUAGAUGGAUCCGCGCUGCAUUAGCUAGUUGGUAAGGUAACGGCUUACCAAGGCAACGAUGCAGAGCCGACCUGAGAGGGUGAUCGGCCACACUGGAACUGGGACACGGUCCAGACCCCUACGGGAGGCAGAAGUAGGGAAUCUUCCGCAAUGGGCGAAAGCCUGACGGAGCAACGCCGCGUGAGUGAUGAAGGUCUUCGGAUCGUAAAACUCUGUUAUUAGGGAAGAACAUAUGUGUAAGUAACUGUGCACAUCUUGACGGUACCUAAUCAGAAAGCCACGGCUAACUACGUG